AUGAACCCAGAUGGGAUUAGCUAGUAGGAGAGGUAAUGGCUCCCCUAGGCGACGAUCCCUAGCUGGUCUGAGAGGAUAACCAGCCACACUGGAACUGAGAGACGGUCCAGACUCCUACGGGAGGCAGCAGUGGGGAAUAUUGCACAAUGGGCGCAAGCCUGAUGCAGCCAUGCCGCGUGUGUGAAGAAGGCCUUCGGGUUGUAAAGCACUUUCAGCGAGGAGGAAUGAAGCAAUGCAAAGAGUGUUGCUAAUGGACGUUACUCGCAGAAGAAGCACCGGCUAACUCCGUGCCAGCAGCCGCGGUAAUACGGAGGGUGCGAGCGUUAAUCGGAAUUACUGGGCGUAAAGGGCACGUAGGCGGUUUCUUAAGUCAGAUGUGAAAUCCCCGAGCUUCACUUGGGAACGGCAUUUGAAACUGAGAGUCUAGAGUUUUGUAGAGGGGGGUAGAAUUCCAGGUGUAGCGGUGAAAUGCGUAGAUAUCUGGAGGAAUACCGGUGGCGAAGGCGGCCCCCUGGACAGAGACUGACGCUGAGGUGCGAAAGCGUGGGUAGCAAACAGGAUUAGAUACCCUGGUAGUCCACGCUGUAAACGAUGUCGAUUUGUAGGUUGUGGUUAUAAACUGUGGCUUGCGGAGCAAACGCGUUAAAUCGACCGCCUGGGGAGUACGGCCGCAAGGUUAAAACUCAAAUGAAUUGACGGGGGCCCGCACAAGCGGUGGAGCAUGUGGUUUAAUUCGAUGCAACGCGAAGAACCUUACCUACUCUUGACAUCCAGAGGAGUCGACAGAGAUGUUGACGUGCCCUUCGGGGAGCUUUGAGACAGGUGCUGCAUGGCUGUCGUCAGCUCGUGUUGUGAAAUGUUGGGUUAAGUCCCGCAACGAGCGCAACCCUUAUCUUUUGUUGCCAGCACGUAGAGGUGGGAACUCAAGAGAGACUGCCGGUGAUAAACCGGAGGAAGGUGGGGAUGACGUCAAGUCAUCAUGGCCCUUACGAGUAGGGCUACACACGUGCUACAAUGGCGUAUACAAAGAGAAGCGAGCCUGCGAGGGUGAGCGGACCUCAUAAAGUACGUCGUAGUCCGGAUUGGAGUCUGCAACUCGACUCCAUGAAGUCGGAAUCGCUAGUAAUCGUGGAUCAGAAUGCUACGGUGAAUACGUUCCCGGGCCUUGUACACACCGCCCGUCACACCAUGGGAGUGUUUUGCAAAAGAAGUAGGUAGCUUA
This 1222-nucleotide ribosomal RNA is filed under the name Candidatus Fukatsuia symbiotica. RNAcentral describes it as "bacterial SSU rRNA". It matches the Rfam family "Bacterial small subunit ribosomal RNA", at positions 225 to 1437 of the family's 1533-position model. The record is from RNAcentral. Lineage: Bacteria; Pseudomonadati; Pseudomonadota; Gammaproteobacteria; Enterobacterales; Yersiniaceae.